AUGGAUUGGGGCUGGAUCAUGUUCUACCUGCUGACAGCAGCUACAGAUGUCCACUCUCAUGUUCAUCUGCAGCAGUCUGGGGCUGAACUGAGGAGUCCUGGAUCUUCAGUAAAGGUGUCCUGCAAGGAUUUUGACUCAGAUAGCUUCCCUAUUUCCUACAUGAGUUGGUUGAGGCAGAAGCCUGGACAAGGCAUUGAAUGGAUUGGAAACAUACUCCCAAGCAUUGGCAGAACAAACUACGGACAGAAGUUUGAGGACAGAGUCUCACUGGAUGCAGACACCAUGUCCAGCACAGCCUUCAUGGAGGUUAGCAGCCUGACAUAUGAAGACUCUGCUGUUUAUUACUGUGCAAGGCACAGUGUCACAGCCUACAUCUGGAGUAUGCCAAAAAUUCUGAAGAAACAGGAAGCUGCCUGGGGGUGGGUAUGA
This is a non-coding RNA of Acomys russatus (golden spiny mouse), 429 nucleotides long. The record is from the annotation of a RefSeq genome assembly. Lineage: Eukaryota; Metazoa; Chordata; Mammalia; Rodentia; Muridae.